UUCACAUACUCGGAAAUCAAUCAAGUCCCAUAUUCUCAUCCUGUAUUGAUACAUUCAGCUACAAAACAAAAACCAAAAUACAAGAAGAAAAAGAAACUGGGUAUUUAAUAUUUUACCUAAUUGAAAACAACAGUAGGCAACUUCAGUCCAUGAGCUUCACGACUUCAAUAAGCAAAAUUUUUUGCAUCAACUGGAAAUCCAAAAACAUAUGCUUCCUCCAUCAUCCUCCCCCAAUUGAAAAAUAACAAAAUUCUGCAGAUAAAGUUCAAUAAAGAUAAAAUCAAAAUCAGAAUUCCAGAAAAAAGGAAUUAUCGUAUUGUCUCAUUAAUUGUCAUAUAUGUUGAGAGGGCGGAAAAGGAAAAUGGACAAAUUUUGCGAAAGACGAUCAAUAGAUAAGACAUAAAACGACGCUGUAUGAUUCUGAACCACGGACCUCGUAAACGUGUUUUAAGAAUCAGAAAAUUCGAUGGUAUUGGCCUGCUACGUAAUUUCGGAUGACAAAAAUCUUUCUACCAUAUCCACUCGUUAAGCAUAUUACUAACUUAGAUUGGACUAUUUUCGUGGACUCGACUCCAUGAUAUAAGAAUAG
This 589-nucleotide long non-coding RNA is filed under the name Olea europaea (common olive). RNAcentral describes it as "long non-coding RNA (OEUR_LNC013318)". The record is from RNAcentral. Lineage: Eukaryota; Viridiplantae; Streptophyta; Magnoliopsida; Lamiales; Oleaceae.